UACAGAGGUCUCAAGCGUUGUUCGGAUUCAUUGGGCGUAAAGGGCGCGUAGGCGGCGGGGUAAGUCGGGUGUGAAAUCUCAGAGCUCAACUCUGAAACUGCACUCGAUACUGCUCUGCUUGAGGACUGGAGAGGAGACUGGAAUUCACGGUGUAGCAGUGAAAUGCGUAGAGAUCAUGAGGAAGACCAGUGGCGAAGGCGGGUCUCUGGACAGUUCCUGACACUGAGGCACGAAGGCCAGGGGAGCAAACGGG
RNAcentral lists this ribosomal RNA (253 nucleotides) under uncultured bacterium. Its description in RNAcentral is "partial 16S ribosomal RNA". It matches the Rfam family "Bacterial small subunit ribosomal RNA", at positions 524 to 776 of the family's 1533-position model. The record is from RNAcentral.